GUCAGUUUGAAGAGCAAGAGACUGAGGUAAGGUCCCAAUUGCAGUCCUGCUGGGUUAUCUCCCAGUCUUGGGAUAGGAUGAACUACAAGUCAAGGCCUGGAUGGCUUUGAGACCAGAAAGGAACCCAGAGUAACAUAAUAAAAUUGGCAGUCUUUUUCCACUCCCUGCUUGCAGAGGCUGUACAUUUUUACUUUGCUAUGCAGUUACAACUUAUUUUGUCUCUUUUGCAUGUUUUUUAAGCAAUGUCUUUGUUCUUAGUUCCAGUAACAAACGCACGCGCACAUACACAUCAUGCUCGAGUGCAUACACGCACAUAUCUUCGGGUAUCUAAGAUUUGACAGGACUUUUUGAUCUAGUAUGUGAGGUUUUAGAGGAGUUUCUGCUCCCUUGAGAUCAAAGAAAGGAAAUCCCUCUGUAGCACCUGACUUCCAGUUCUACCUGGAUUCAAACACCUCCUCCUUACUCUGAGAACCUCAGGAGCUGUAUAUGUCCCCUGAAAAUAGGAUCCCUCCUUAAUAUUAUAAAUCUCCAGAGUGUUCCCGUUAUCCCCAUUAGCAUUAGUUCAGCUUUCCUACCAAUGCUAAUUUUACUCACUUUGAUUUGUUCACAUCAGACUGUACUUAGAUUGUCAGUGAGAACGUCACAAAAGAGAUUCUGAACGUUCCAGUGUAUACACGCAAGAUAUCCCCCCCGUGUUAGAGCCAGCAGGAUUGUCCUCUUAAAACUCUCAUCUUAGGCGGCCUGAUUCUUCCAUACUGUUCAACUCAUACCACAAGUGUCAGCCAGUCACCACAGGAGAUUGGCAGCAGCACCAACCUAGCUGUCUGUUUUGUCUCUGGUGAUAGCUGUGUAAUCGCUGUCCUGUAUUUUUCCAAGACUCACAGCCUUUUACAAUUUAAGUAUUGAAUGUUUAAAAUCAGGUAUUAAGAAAGUGUUUUACCUAGGUUAUUUUAUUUCAUUCUUACUACAGCCCAUUUAAGGUGGAAACGCUCUUACUACCUCCAGUUUACUCACUACGGCAUGGGAUGAUUAACCUCUCUAGGGUUCGUUCCACUGUUGGAAUCCCAAGCCCAGGCAGGCUAAAGUCAGAACACAUCUGUAGUCUCAGCACUCUACUGUACCGCCUUCCCGUGAUGGUUCUGUCUCAGCACCCUCUGACUCCGACAUUACCUCACUUCACCUAUUCAGCUAGGUAGUAAAGCUAGUGUACUCCUUACAAAAGAGAUCCCUCUGCAUAGUUCAGAGCCACAUUUCCUGUUCUAAGACUCAGCUAAUUCAUGAAUGAAUACACGUUUUCACUUCUCCCUCCCGUUCAUGGUGGGGGAGAGAUUUAACUUGGAGCAGGUCUGAAGGAAGCUGGCAGAUGGCCCUUCCAGGCCUCUUUCUACUGUGUUUGCUUAAAGUGAGCACAGCCUUAAGCACUAUUUCUCCUCUUAACACUCUCACCACAGUGACCUCAACCAUGGAUCCUGUGAAUUAGGCUCUUGAACUCUGUCUCGUUGAAUUGUGUUUCUUCUCCAUUUCCCCAGAUUCCAACCACCCUCGCCCCCUGGCAAACACCCCUUCUUCAGUGGAGCAGACCUCCCGUCUGGGCCAGUGUGGACUCAGAUAGAAGCCCAACAAUAGUAACAAAAACCAAGUUUGAUUUGCUACAGUGCAUAACCAGUCACAAGAAUGUCAGUUGACAGAAGAACUCUGCCUCCAAGCACACUUUCUAAAUAGUUGACCAAGUUUUAUUAAAUAAAUCCUCCUGGGAUUCUGGUUGAAAUUUUACUGGUUGGAAUUUACUGAUUUCCAGGGAGAGAAUUAGUACAUUUACAAUAAUAAGUCUCCUCACCCAGAAACAGAAUGCCACAGCUGUGUUCUCAGAGGCCUCCAGGGAGACCUUGUCUCUUGGGCUACCCCCCGGAGCCCCUCAUCUUCCCUUGGCUGGCACCCUGAGCCCCCACACCCUUGUAGUGCCUCAUCCAAAGACUCCAGUGGAUGAAAUUCUGAAUUAUCUUUCUAAGCCCAAAAAACUCCAGAGAGAUUUCCUUCCCCCAUCCCUGCUUUCUUUUCUCCUGCACUUUUACGUUGUUCUCAGCAUCUCCCUUUUCAUCACCUGUGAAGUCCAGUACUUCUAAGCUGGAGAAGGUCAGCGCAGUGUCUCCAGUCUAAGCUUCCCUAAGAACCCAAUGACUUGAAGCACAGCUCUUCCCUCUGACCUUCCCUCUUCACACUGUCCUAUGUCAUGUCUGAGCUCCGUCAAGAAGAGAUGGGAUCCUGAGAGAAGAGUGCUCACCGGGUGUUUAAGGGGAGUAAACACUGUGACUCUGUGUGGUGCCUGCCCUAAAGGCAAGAGCUCGUGAGCCUAGCUUUGCCAGCAGGUGCCAGCCUGUGGCUGAACCAGCCUGAGUGCCACAGUUCCUAAGAAUUCCUCGCUAUUUUUGAUCCCUAAAUCUGUCUCUACAACAAAAUGUUCCAUCUGGCUAACUACCAAAGGCCCUGGGGUGAAGAAACAAGGCCCUAGACCCUCUACAUAAAUUGUCUUUAGGAGAACAGCCAUUGUCUUAUUGCCAGUGUGAUUACUAAAAGGGCCAAAACCAAAGUUGUGUGGGCUUUCAUACCAGGUGCAACCAGCAGGUAAUAGGAAACCGGAGCCCAGCACAAGCCAGAGUGACCCCAGAAGACAUGGAUGGGCUUGAAGAACAGGUACAAUGACAGUGCAAAAGCACAGGCCAUUUGCCAAGGCCAUAGAGUCCAAACACCCAGACAUCUUUUGCCUAGCCGUGUUCCUCUCUGUGUCUGCACGUUUUUGGCCCUCAUCUGCUAGGCUCACUGGGGACCAAGUCAGCACAGGUUUCCUCCCUACCACCCCACACGGUCAUGAGGCAUCUUCAUCUGCUGCUCAUCUAGGGGAUAUAAUUUAAAAGUGAGCACUGGAAAUCACAACAGUAAUUAUAAAACUGCCCUGUCAUCGAAAUGUUUCAUUAGACAUUUAUGUUUUGAAAGGCAGAGAAUGAAACAAGGUGGCACUGGUAAGGACACAUUGGUGGCUGAGGUGGGGUUACAAAUUGAAACCAGUGUGGGCAACAUAGCAAGGCCCUUUUUUGUUGUUUUGUUUUUGUUUUUGUUUAUUGAGACAGGGUUUCCUGCGAGACCCUUUCUAAAUAAAUAAAUAACCAAACAUAUUUUUAAAGGCAGAAGGGACCAUUCCACACCAGAAUGAUCCAGUGCAGAGACAGGAAAUAUUCUGAAAGGGCUGAAAAGUUCCGCUAACACAAACAUUUUAUUCCUUGAGAUCCCCUCAUCCAGAAGUAACUCACUGCAAAGAUCCUUCCCAGCCAGUCCUCACCCAGCCCCCAAGUUGCUCAAGGCCCAGCCAGCCACCCAGUUUUACAUGUCUAAAUCUGAAAUCAAAGUCCCCGGCAGGGAAAGGGAUUGUCACAAGUAAUUGCAACAUCCCACAAGAAUUUGUUUGGGAGUUAAAGGGAGCCAAACCUGGGCCUUCUCCAAAGCUUACAAGUCUGAGCUUUUAGAGAGCACGUUUGAUCCUUCUAGAGUGUUAAAUGUAACUGUCUGUCUUGGGCCUGCCUAGAAGCUGGAGGGGACUCUGCAAAGCCUCAGCUGACCCACCGUGGUAACAGAUGGUACUUCAUUGGGUUCCCAGCCAGAGCUUUCCUGUGGACUGCCCUGACAGAUGUGACAAGAUCAAGCAGCAUUGCUGGCUGUCUACCCUGUGUCCUCCAGGGCUGCCACACCUGACAAAAGUCUCACAGGUUGCCCUGACUUUGAGUGCUGAAUGGCACAAACAUUCCAUGCUCCAAGCUGCCUUUAUGGGUGUUACUUCUGAAAUGCCAGCUCCUGACUCUUCUGGGGCCUCCAUACCCCACCCCCAUGGAAGUGACAACAUAGCCAGAAGUGUCCUCCAGGCUUGACCUGUCUGGGUCUACCAUAGGGUCAGGUUGCAGUGGUUAGUUACCAUUAAGCAGCCCCAGCCCCAGGCAUGGGCAGGCCUUUCUGUAAGCCAAGAUCAAGUAAAUAGACAUGCCACCAAAAUAAGACUCAGUGGUCAGUCUGUCUCCAGGUGCCAGAAGGAUGACCUUUGUAAGUCAGAGAACAGCAUGAGUAGCCUCAGACCUUCCCCCCACAGGUUUGGGCGCGCAGACACAGUGAAGCCUGCAAGUGUCAUUCCAGGUUUGUUGUCUGUACAGAAGUCAGACUGGGUGGGAUGGGACCUGUGGGGAAAGAAUGGGUGAAGUGAGGGCAGAAACUGACUGAUCCAGGUUGUCAGCUUUGUCAGCUCUAAGGGUCUAAGGGUCAGAAAUUCCCGCGCCCCCUGCUGGUCCCCUGGUCAGACUUUUUGGCUUCCCUCCCCAGGAGGCUUCCUGUCUUCCUUUCUUGCUGCCCUGUCCUGGAAUGGCUGCCUCAUGGUUUGCAGCGGAUUUUUUUUUUCUUUUUUUUUUUUUUUUUUUUUCUUUUUGCCUUUGAACCUAAUGGGGAGCU
Long non-coding RNA from Meriones unguiculatus (Mongolian gerbil), 4485 nucleotides. RefSeq lists it as uncharacterized. NCBI's taxonomy places the organism in Eukaryota, Metazoa, Chordata, Mammalia, Rodentia, Muridae. The transcript is spliced from 3 exons. The record is from RefSeq and is a predicted model, not a curated record.